RNAcentral lists this ribosomal RNA (377 nucleotides) under uncultured bacterium. RNAcentral describes it as "bacterial SSU rRNA". It matches the Rfam family "Bacterial small subunit ribosomal RNA", at positions 521 to 896 of the family's 1533-position model. The record is from RNAcentral.
UAAUACGUAGGUGGCGAGCGUUGUCCGGAUUUACUGGGCGUAAAGCGCGCGCAGGCGGUUGACUAAGUCUGGUGUGAAAUUUCCCGGCUUAACUGGGAAGGGUCAUUGGAUACUGGUCAGCUUGAGGAAGGUAGAGGAGAGUGGAAUUCCCGGUGUAGUGGUGGAAUGCGUAGAUAUCGGGAGGAACACCAGUGGCGAAAGCGGCUCUCUGGGCCUUUCCUGACGCUGAGGCGCGAAAGCGUGGGGAGCGAACCGGAUUAGAUACCCGGGUAGUCCACGCUGUAAACGAUGGACACUAGGUGUGGGGGGUAUCGACCCCCUCCGCGCCGAAGCUAACGCGAUAAGUGUCCCGCCUGGGGACUACGGCCGCAAGGCUA